CUUCCCUUCCGCCAGCCCGCGGGAAUUUUCUUGAUGAGGAGGAAAAACUAUAAGCCCCCCCCGGCGGGAGUGAGAGAGCGAUUCGGUGUGUAAGAACAUUCUUCUCGCGAGAGAAAACUCUUUUUUAAUAACACCCUCCCUUGACGGUACCUCCCGAGGAAGCACCGGCCAACUACGUGCCAGCAGCCGCGGUAAUAAAUAGGGGGCGAGCGUUUUUCGGAAUUAUUUGGGGUAAAAAAAGGGUAGGCGGGCGGUUAAGUCAGAUGUGAAAAACCCCCGCUCAACCCCGGAAGGGCAUUCGAAAAAACUCAUCUUGAGUGCGGGAGAGGGAAGGGGAAUUCCCGGUGUAGGGGUGAAAUAAGUAGAUAUCUGGAGGAACACCCGCGGGGAAGGGGGCUUUCUGGUCCGUUACUGACGCUGAGGCGCGAAAGAAAGGGGAGCAAACACGAUUAGAUACCCCCCUAGUUCCCCCCCUCAACAAUGGAUACUAGGUGGGGUGGUAUCGACCCCUUCAGUGCCGAAGCUAACGCGAUAAGUACACCGCCUGGGAUACC
RNAcentral lists this ribosomal RNA (554 nucleotides) under uncultured bacterium. Its description in RNAcentral is "partial 16S ribosomal RNA". It matches the Rfam family "Bacterial small subunit ribosomal RNA", at positions 327 to 884 of the family's 1533-position model. The record is from RNAcentral.